AAGUCGUAACAAGGUCUCCGUUGGUGAACCAGCGGAGGGAUCAUUAUCGAGUUUAUUCAACUCCCAAACCCUAUGUGAACUUACCACUUGUUGCUUCGGCGGCGCUCCGGCGCUGCCGGGGGUAUCAAACUCUUAUUGUUUUUACAGCAUUAUCUGAGUGGCCGAAAGGCAAAAAACAAAUGAAUCAAAACUUUCAACAACGGAUCUCUUGGUUCUG
RNAcentral lists this unclassified non-coding RNA (217 nucleotides) under fungal sp. RNAcentral's name for it is "partial contains small subunit ribosomal RNA, internal transcribed spacer 1, and 5.8S ribosomal RNA". The stretch from base 1 to 46 matches the Rfam family "Eukaryotic small subunit ribosomal RNA", at positions 1786 to 1831 of the family's 1831-position model. RNAcentral also lists the same sequence under 4 other names. Lineage: Eukaryota; Fungi. The record is from RNAcentral.